Molecule: long non-coding RNA, 588 nt
Filed under: Musa acuminata (dwarf banana)
Lineage: Eukaryota; Viridiplantae; Streptophyta; Magnoliopsida; Zingiberales; Musaceae
Description: long non-coding RNA (MACU_LNC005555)
Source: RNAcentral
CGAAGUCGUACGCACUGUGGAACGUCACCCAGCUCACGGCCGAGUCGUUGCACACCAGGCCGGACGACAUCAGGAGCUCGGCGAAGCGCCGGGAGUCGAUCCCCCGCGCCCGGUUCUUCUCGAAAUCGAUCCCGUUGGACCUGAGGAGGUCGAUGGACUCGGGGGCGUAGCGGUCGCGGUAGAUGUCGAAAUCGCGAAAGUUGAACUCCCAGACGUAGCGGACGGAGCCGCCGGCGCCGAGGUCGGGGAGGUUGCCGGCGGCGUCGGAGAGGGUGAGGCCCACCUGGAUGAGGUGGAGGGCGUCGACGUUGGCCUUGAGGAGGGCAUACCGUUCGGCGGGGCAGAGGAUGGCGGGGUGCUUCCGGGAGCGGUGGACGACGCCGGGGAACUCCGUGUCCAUGGCGGCGAAGGGGUGACACUCGACGGCCUCGCGGAUGAGGUCGAAUUCCGCCUCCAGGUUAUCGGCCCACACGGAGCGGACCUGGACCUCGAUCGGCUCUUUUGCAUCUUCCAAAGAAGGCAUCUUUUGGCCGCUAAUCUGCUUCGAUCCGGUCGACUCCUACCGGUUUCCUUUUUCGUUUUCACCGC